RNAcentral lists this ribosomal RNA (1299 nucleotides) under Meloidogyne arenaria. RNAcentral describes it as "SSU rRNA". It matches the Rfam family "Eukaryotic small subunit ribosomal RNA", at positions 488 to 1823 of the family's 1831-position model. Lineage: Eukaryota; Metazoa; Nematoda; Chromadorea; Rhabditida; Meloidogynidae. The record is from RNAcentral.
GUUCUCUUUGAGGCCGGUCAUCGGAAUGGGUACAAUUUAAACCCUUUAACGAGUAUCAAGCAGAGGGCAAGUCUGGUGCCAGCAGCCGCGGUAAUUCCAGCUCUGCUAAUACAUAGAAUUAUUGCUGCGGUUAAAAAGCUCGUAGUUGGAUUCGUAUCGGUACCCUGGAACCCUCCGGGUGUUUCUGGGUGUUGUCGAUUUAUCGUAAUGUUCGGUUUUGAGUCCUUAACAGGAUUCUUAACAGGCAUUGCAAGUUUACUUUGAACAAAUCAGAGUGCUUCAAACAGGCGUUUUCGCUUGAAUGAUCGUGCAUGGAAUAAUAGAAAACGAUUUCGGUUCAGUUUUAUUGGUUUUACGGACUGAGAUAAUGGUUAACAGAGACAAACGGGGGCAUUUGUAUGGCCCCGUGAGAGGUGAAAUUCUUGGACCGUGGCCAGACAAACUACAGCGAAAGCAUUUGCCAAGAAUGUCUUCAUUAAUCAAGAACGAAAGUCAGAGGUUCGAAGGCGAUCAGAUACCGCCCUAGUUCUGACCGUAAACGAUGCCAACUAGCGAUCCGCCGAUGGAAAUUAUAUUGCCUUGGUGGGGAGCUUCCCGGAAACGAAAGUCUUCCGGUUCCGGGGGAAGUAUGGUUGCAAAGCUGAAACUUAAAGGAAUUGACGGAAGGGCACCACCAGGAGUGGAGCCUGCGGCUUAAUUUGACUCAACACGGGGAAACUCACCCGGCCCGGACACUGUGAGGAUUGACAGAUUGAUAGCUUUUUCAUGAUUCAGUGGAUGGUGGUGCAUGGCCGUUCUUAGUUCGUGGAGUGAUUUGUCUGGUUUAUUCCGAUAACGAGCGAGACUCUAACCUACUAAAUAGCUGGUACAUACUCUUAGUGUAUACAGCUUCUUAGAGGGAUUUGCGGUGUUCAGCCGAAAGAAAUUGAGCAAUAACAGGUCUGUGAUGCCCUUAGAUGUCCGGGGCUGCACGCGCGCUACACUGGCAAAAUCAACGUGCUUGUCCUACCCCGAAAGGGGCGGGUAAACCAUUGAAAAUUUGCCGUGAUUGGGAUCGGAAAUUGCAAUUAUUUUCCGUGAACGAGGAAUUCCAAGUAAGUGCGAGUCAUCAGCUCGCGUUGAUUACGUCCCUGCCCUUUGUACACACCGCCCGUCGCUGCCCGGGACUGAGCCAUUUCGAGAAAUUUGGGGACCGUUGAUUUAAUUUUUCUAAAUUACUUUGAUGGAAACCAAUUUAAUCGCAGUGGCUUGAACCGGGCAAAAGUCGUAACAAGGUAGCUGUAGGUGAACCUGCUGCUG